UUGUCUCCUUAAUUAUCUCUUGACUCUGGCUGUGAGGCAUCUGGUUGUUUUUGCUUGCUUCAACUGGUGCUUUCACUCUCCAUUCUUGUGUUGCUUUACCUUUCUGUGUAGGUUGGGUAGCUUUGGUUAGACAGUUGUGUCCAACCUCUAAACAUUUCUCACAGUACAAAGGUUUCCACUCAUAGAUCACAUCCUGUAUGGAACUUUUUCCAUUUGGAUCUAAAAUCUCUAUUUCACUAGGUAACUUUUUGGACACAUUUACCUCAAUG
Molecule: long non-coding RNA, 269 nt
Filed under: Nicotiana benthamiana
Lineage: Eukaryota; Viridiplantae; Streptophyta; Magnoliopsida; Solanales; Solanaceae
Description: long non-coding RNA (NBEN_LNC039654)
Source: RNAcentral